This 110-nucleotide small nuclear RNA is filed under the name Cervus elaphus hippelaphus. RNAcentral's name for it is "U2 spliceosomal RNA". It matches the Rfam family "U2 spliceosomal RNA". Rfam says of the family: U2 is a small nuclear RNA (snRNA) component of the spliceosome (involved in pre-mRNA splicing). RNAcentral also lists the same sequence under 1 other name. The record is from Rfam by way of RNAcentral. Lineage: Eukaryota; Metazoa; Chordata; Mammalia; Artiodactyla; Cervidae.
AUCGCUUCUCGGCCUUUUGGCUAAGAUCAAGUGUAGUAUCUGUUCUUAUCAGUUUAAUAUCCUUUUUUCAUUCAUGUUUUGAGGGUAAGUUUUUUAACUGCUGAGCUUUA